GGUGUUGGCACACAAAACUCACUGAAGUAUUGUUUUCUCUAGGUUUUCAGCAAGGGAAAGCUGAUCCAUGUGUAUUUGUCAAAGAGGAGGGGCAAAAGAAACUGUACUGUUUGUUUUAUGUUGAUGAUUUAUUAUUCUUUUGGAAAGAUGUUGCAAUGUACAAUAGCGCCCUAGCUCAACUGAAAGAGCACUUUGACAUGAAAGAUCUUGGUGAGGUAAACAACUACCUAUCUCUGGAAAUAGAGAGAGAUCAAGAUGGUAACAUUCUAGUACACCAGUCACGGAAAAUUGCUGAUGUGUUAAGCAAACUAAAUCUGAUGGAUGCUAACCCUGUAGACACACCGAUGACAACAGGUUAUCAGGUAGAUGACACUGAAGAAGCAUUUUCUGACACUACACUGUACAGGAGUGUGCUAGGCAAGCUAAACUUCAUUGCCAGAUGUUCAAGACCAGACAUUGCUGUUAGCUGUAAUUUGCUAAGCAGACAAGUCAACAAUCCUAGUGUCAAGGAUUGAAAGCUCUGAAACGCAUAGCGCGGUAUUUGAAAGGCACUAUGCAUUACAGACUGAGAUUUAACAAUCAGAAGUCUGGUGGUCUUGAGAUAUUUGCAGAUGCAAGUUUUGGAAGUGACGCUACAGACAGGAAAAGUACGUCUGGAGUUUGCUACAUGUACAAUCAGAGUCUGUUUGAUUGGUCAUGCAGAAGCAAACAACAGUUAGCUUAAGUACUUGUGAAGCCGAACUGAAUGCACUGUCUUAUUCACUUAAGGAUUGUGAAUGGUUAGUACAAUUGUGCAAAGAUAUGAAAAUUCCUGUCAAAUGUCCAAUCCAGGUUUACCAGGACAACAAAGCAUGUUUGGCUUUGCUGAAGUCUGAAGGUUGUAAGCAAAGCACAAAGCACUUGCAAUUAAAGUUGCAGCAUGCUAGGGAAUGUAUUCAGAAGGGACUCGUAACGGUGUCCUAUAUGCCAGGUAAUGAAAUUCCUGCUGAUGUAUUGUCCAAGAUUGUAUCAAGGGAUCAACACUGUACCUAUGUGCAGAAGUUGGGUUUGUACUGAUACUGUACGAACACGCUGCCCAGUGAUGUUCACAGAAAGGGGGAGGAUGUUGGUUUCUAUUUCCUUCACUGUGCAGCAACUGCAGUCACAAGACAUUGUUUUACAUUCCACAGUCUGUACUGUUGGAGUUUCUCACGGGAAAGGGAGACUGGAUGUGACGUACACUGGUUUCCUGUUUUUCACUGUGAUUCUCUCCAAGCUGUCGAGGAGAGAGGAUGCAUUUCUCUGCUCCUGCAGAGGCAAGAUGUCUUUCUGUAAUAUACCAGCUUUGAACUGUAAAUAAAGCUAUAUGGAGUAUG
Podarcis lilfordi (Lilford's wall lizard) is the source of this 1355-nucleotide non-coding RNA. Lineage: Eukaryota; Metazoa; Chordata; Lepidosauria; Squamata; Lacertidae. The record is from the annotation of a GenBank genome assembly.